This 345-nucleotide unclassified non-coding RNA is filed under the name soil metagenome. RNAcentral's name for it is "partial contains 5.8S ribosomal RNA, internal transcribed spacer 2, and large subunit ribosomal RNA". The stretch from base 1 to 120 matches the Rfam family "5.8S ribosomal RNA", at positions 35 to 154 of the family's 154-position model. The record is from RNAcentral.
GAUGAAGAACGCAGCGAAAUGCGAUACGUAAUGUGAAUUGCAGAAUUCAGUGAAUCAUCGAGUCUUUGAACGCACAUUGCGCCCCCUGGUAUUCCGGGGGGCAUGCCUGUCCGAGCGUCAUUGCAGCCCUCAAGCACGGCUUGUGUGUUGGGCCUCCGUCCUCCUCCCGGGGGACGGGCCCGAAAGGCAGCGGCGGCACCGCGUCCGGUCCUCGAGCGUAUGGGGCUUCGUCACCCGCUCUUGUAGGCCCGGCCGGCGCUUGCCGACACAUCAAUCUUUUUUCCAGGUUGACCUCGGAUCAGGUAGGGAUACCCGCUGAACUUAAGCAUAUCAAUAAGCGGAGGA